AUUGAACGCUGGCGGCAGGCUUAACACAUGCAAGUCGAACGAGUGGCGGACGGGUGAGUAAUGCUUGGGAAUCUGGCUUAUGGAGGGGGAUAACUACGGGAAACUGUAGCUAAUACCGCAUACCAUCGGAUGAGCCCAGAUGGGAUUAGCUAGUUGGUGGGGUAAAGGCUCACCAAGGCGACGAUCCCUAGCUGGUCUGAGAGGAUGACCAGCCACACUGGGACUGAGACACGGUCCAGACUCCUACGGGAGGCAACAGUGGGGAAUAUUGGACAAUGGGCGCAAGCCUGAUGCAGCCAUGCCGCGUGUAUGAAGAAGGCCUUCGGGUUGUAAAGUACUUUCGGCGGGGAGGCGUUACCCGCAGAAGAAGCACCGGCUAACUCCGUGCCAGCAGCCGCGGUAAUUC
RNAcentral lists this ribosomal RNA (406 nucleotides) under uncultured bacterium. RNAcentral's name for it is "partial 16S ribosomal RNA". It matches the Rfam family "Bacterial small subunit ribosomal RNA", at positions 30 to 526 of the family's 1533-position model. The record is from RNAcentral.